RNAcentral lists this ribosomal RNA (469 nucleotides) under Euphausia recurva. RNAcentral's name for it is "partial 16S ribosomal RNA". It matches the Rfam family "Bacterial large subunit ribosomal RNA", at positions 1852 to 2573 of the family's 2925-position model. The record is from RNAcentral. Lineage: Eukaryota; Metazoa; Arthropoda; Malacostraca; Euphausiacea; Euphausiidae.
GUCUGGCCUGCCCACUGAAUUUUAAAGGGCCGCGGUAUUUUGACCGUGCAAAGGUAGCAUAAUCAUUAGUCUUUUAAUUGGAGGCUUGUAUGAAUGGUUGCACAAGAAAUAAACUGUCUUAAUUUAAUUUAUUGAAUUUAACUUUUAAGUAAAAAGGCUUAAAUAAAUUAAAGUGACGAUAAGACCCUAUAAAACUUUAUAAAUUAAACUAAAAAAAAAUAUUAGUUAAUUGAAAUUUUUUAUUGUUGAAUUUAUUUUAUUGGGGCGAUACAAAUAUAAUAAGUAACUGUUUUUCAUAUUUAAAUGAUAAAUAAUCAUGAACAAUUAAAUGAUCCUUUAAUAAAGAUUGUAAGAUUAAGUUACUUUAGGGAUAACAGCGUAAUUUUCUUUGAGAGUUCAUAUCUACAAGAAAGAUUACGACCUCGAUGUUGAAUUAAAAAAUCUUUAAGGUGUAGCAGCUUUAAUAGAA